Non-coding RNA from Paramuricea clavata, 794 nucleotides. The record is from the annotation of a GenBank genome assembly. Lineage: Eukaryota; Metazoa; Cnidaria; Anthozoa; Malacalcyonacea; Plexauridae.
GUUUCGUCACGUAAUUUUGGUUGCCGCGUGUGAGGCAAAGAAGGCGUACAGAAACGCGAGGUGUCAAUUAUAACAAUCUAACCCGUAUUAGAUACACAAAUAAUUAUAAUGAAAAAAACAAAAAACAAAAUAAAGCUAUACUCCCGAGAAUUUGCUGCUUGAACGCACGCUCAAUUAAUGGAAAGGUUGAUGAACUUGCAGCAUUUAUGUCCGUCAACAAAGUUCAUAUAGCCGCAAUUACGGAGUCUUGGUUGACUGAUACAACUGUAGGGGACGAUCAAAUAUCGAUUGGUGGUUAUGUAAUUCAUCGUAAGGACCGGACACAUGGCCGUGGGGGUGGGGUUUGCGUUUAUGUGUCUCAGCAGAUAUCCAUUACGCGAUACUUGGAAUUAGAAGAUUUAAAUCUAGAGUGUAUGUGGUUGUGGGCUCGACCACCACGCCUACCGAGACCGCUAUCUGCAAUCGCAGUAUGUGUAGUGUAUAAUCCACCGGACAAAAGUGUGCAAGAACAGAGGGAACUUUGCGAUUACCUUGUGUCCUCUAUUGAUACUAUACGCUCUAAAUACCCUGAUUGUGGCAUAGUCGUUUUAGGCGAUUUUAAUCGUCUCAAUAUACAGGAUUUAGUUACAAGUCACAACCUUAAGCAAGUCGUCACGCGUCCGACUCAUAGAUAUCUUAUAUAAACUAGAUAGCGCAUCUCUUUUAGUAAAAUUGAAGCCAAGAAUAUCCCAGCGGUUACCCCCAUUUGAAUAGAUGGCGGCCAUGUUGGAGCUUCCCACUCGCUAAUAAACGCU